GGACAGGGCAGCGGCACGCAGCGGCGGGCCAGGCACUGCACGUUGCCGCUCUACGGACCGACAGACGCACCACGGACUCACCCUGAAUUUUUUCUUGUGCAAGAUCCAAGAACCCUUUCUUGGGGUCUGGAUCAGGACUCCUUUCCUGUAACAUCUUUCUGGCGACCACUGAAGGGAUGAUAGUGCGGAAACCCCCGACCCAAAGGCUAAUUUUUGGUCACAAUUGGAGAAACUGGCUAUUUUACCAAGGCUUCGACUGGAAUGGCAUACCUUAAGGAAUCAUGUAAGGAAUCAUGAUUCCUUAAGGAAUCAAAUUUGACUUGUAGAGCCAAUAAAUGCCCCUUGGAGAAACCGGCCUCAUACCUUGCCUACACAGUCUCUGUACAGGGUUUCUGACCUGUGAUAUCAACUUUUGUUGGAACUCAGAGUUAUGAAUGGCCCUCGCCAUGCCGAUGCUUUCUGAUUAAGCACCUCUGUACCCUGAACACAAGAGAGAGAGACCCUAAUAGUUAGGCAGGAAUAUCAUUGCCCCUAUUCAGCCUGAAGAAAUUACAAAAGAUGGAUUUUUGUCCCUCUGCACCCCUUAGGAUCAAGGGUUCUCUUAUAAAAGGGAGAGGGAAAAUGUCAGAGGCAUUUGAACCAGAGCAACUCCAUCUUA
RNAcentral lists this long non-coding RNA (658 nucleotides) under Homo sapiens (human). Its description in RNAcentral is "HSALNT0343283". The record is from RNAcentral. Lineage: Eukaryota; Metazoa; Chordata; Mammalia; Primates; Hominidae.